This 253-nucleotide ribosomal RNA is filed under the name uncultured bacterium. RNAcentral describes it as "partial 16S ribosomal RNA". It matches the Rfam family "Bacterial small subunit ribosomal RNA", at positions 524 to 776 of the family's 1533-position model. The record is from RNAcentral.
UACGAAGGGGGCUAGCGUUUUUCGGAAUAACUGGGCGUAAAGCGCACGUAGGCGGAUUUGUAAGUCAGGGGUGAAAUCCCGGGGCUCAACCUCGGAACUGCCUUUGAUACUGCAAGUCUAGAGUCCGGAAGAGGUGAGUGGAAUUCCUAGUGUAGAGGUGAAAUUCGUAGAUAUUAGGAAGAACACCAGUGGCGAAGGCGGCUCACUGGUCCGGAACUGACGCUGAGGUGCGAAAGCGUGGGGAGCAAACAGG